AAUAGAUACCCAGGUAGUCCACACCGUAAACGAUGAGUGCUAAGUGUUGGGGGGGUUUCCGCCCCUCAGUGCUGCAGCUAACGCAUUAAGCACUCCGCCUGGGGAGUACGGUCGCAAGACUGAAACUCAAAGGAAUUGACGGGGGCCCGCACAAGCGGUGGAGCAUGUGGUUUAAUUCGAAGCAACGCGAAGAACCUUACCAGGUCUUGACAUCCCGGUGACCACUAUGGAGACAUAGUUUCCCCUUCGGGGGCAACGGUGACAGGUGGUGCAUGGUUGUCGUCAGCUCGUGUCGUGAGAUGUUGGGUUAAGUCCCGCAACGAGCGCAACCCUUAUUCUUAGUUGCCAUCAUUCAGUUGGGCACUCUAAGGAGACUGCCGGUGAUAAACCGGAGGAAGGUGGGGAUGACGUCAAAUCAUCAUGCCCCUUAUGACCUGGGCUACACACGUGCUACAAUGGACGGUCAAACGGUUGCAACCCGGCAGGGGGAGCUAAUCCGGAUAAAACCGGUUCUCAGUUCGGAUUGUAGGCUGCAACUCGCCUAC
This 545-nucleotide ribosomal RNA is filed under the name uncultured bacterium. RNAcentral describes it as "bacterial SSU rRNA". It matches the Rfam family "Bacterial small subunit ribosomal RNA", at positions 777 to 1319 of the family's 1533-position model. The record is from RNAcentral.